RNAcentral lists this non-coding RNA (778 nucleotides) under Mustilizans eitschbergeri. Lineage: Eukaryota; Metazoa; Arthropoda; Insecta; Lepidoptera; Endromidae. The record is from RNAcentral.
AAUAAAUUUUUUAUGGUUUAAAAAAUUUAUAAUAAAUUUGUUUUACAUAUAAAUUUUAGUGUUAAUUUUUGAUUAUUUUAAUAAUAAUUAAUUAAGGUUAAAUAGUAAUUAAUAUUAAAAAUUUAAGAAAUUAAGAUUUAGCGUUGUAUAAGUUAUUAACUAAUUUUGUGCCAGCAGUUGCGGUUAUACAAAAAAUAAAUUAAAUUUUUUUAGUUAUUAAUAAAUAAUUGAUUAAAUAAUUUAAAUUUUAAAUUAUUAAGUGAAAUUUUAAUUUAAUAAAAAUUUAUUAAAAAUUUAUGUUAUUAAUAAAUUUUAUAAAAAACUAGGAUUAGAUACCCUAUUAUUAAAAAUUUAAAUUAAGAAUACUAAAAUAGUAAAUAAUUAUUUAUUGAAACUUAAAUAAUUUGGCGGUAUUUUAGUUCUUUUAGAGGAAUCUGUUUAUUAAUUGAUAAUCCACGAGUUAAUUUACUUAAUUUAAAAGUUUAUAUAUCGUUGUUAAAAAAAUAUUUUUUAAUAAAAAUAAUAUUUUAAAAUUUAAAUAGAAAAUUAAAUCAGAUCAAGAUGUAGUUUAUAUUUAAGAAUAUAAUGGAUUACAAUAAGUUUAUUUAUACGGAAUUUAAUUAGUAGUGAUUAAAUGAAGGUGGAUUUAAAUGUAAUUUUUUUUUAAUUAAUAAAAUGAUUUUAAAUUAAAAUGUGUACAUAUUGCCCGUCGCUUUCAUUUAUAAAUUGGAAUAAGUCGUAACAAAGUAGAGGUACUGGAAAGUGUUUCUAGAAAGAU